CUGAACACAGAAGCAGAAAACACGCGUGGGAUUUUCUCGAUUAAAGUGAUUCAUUUAAGGAUGAAGCAGAACAGAUGGAGAGACAGAAACUGGUUUGGUGUCUCUGUAAGUGAUGCUCGAGUCUCCAAACACUGAAGAUCGACACCAUAAGCAGAACUUCAACAUGUGAAUGAAUCAUUUCGAUAAAUAUUUGUUCAUGACAGACGCUAGAGAAACUCUGUGAGCUUCAAACACACUCACUAACAAAUAAAGUGCAAUAAAACACA
This is a long non-coding RNA of Rhinichthys klamathensis goyatoka, 266 nucleotides long. RefSeq lists it as uncharacterized. The transcript has 2 exons. The record is from RefSeq and is a predicted model, not a curated record. Lineage: Eukaryota; Metazoa; Chordata; Actinopteri; Cypriniformes; Leuciscidae.